Molecule: ribosomal RNA, 1372 nt
Filed under: uncultured bacterium
Lineage: Bacteria
Description: bacterial SSU rRNA
Rfam family: Bacterial small subunit ribosomal RNA
Source: RNAcentral
GAUGAACGCUGGCGGCGUGCCUAAUACAUGCAAGUCGAGCGAACGGACGAGAAGCUUGCUUCUCUGAUGUUAGCGGCGGACGGGUGAGUAACACGUGGAUAACCUACCUAUAAGACUGGGAUAACUUCGGGAAACCGGAGCUAAUACCGGAUAAUAUUUUGAACCGCAUGGUUCAAAAGUGAAAGACGGUCUUGCUGUCACUUAUAGAUGGAUCCGCGCUGCACUAGCUAGUUGGUAAGGUAACGGCUUACCAAGGCAACGAUGCAUAGCCGACCUGAGAGGGUGAUCGGCCACACUGGAACUGAGACACGGUCCAGACUCCUACGGGAGGCAGCAGUAGGGAAUCUUCCGCAAUGGGCGAAAGCCUGACGGAGCAACGCCGCGUGAGUGAUGAGGGUCUUCGGAUCGUAAAACUCUGUUAUUAGGGAAGAACAUAUGUGUAAGUAACUGUGCACAUCUUGACGGUACCUAAUCAGAAAGCCACGGCUAACUACGUGCCAGCAGCCGCGGUAAUACGUAGGUGGCAAGCGUUAUCCGGAAUUAUUGGGCGUAAAGCGCGUGUAGGCGGUUUUUUAAGUCUGAUGUGAAAGCCCACGGCUCAACCGUGGAGGGUCAUUGGAAACUGGAAAACUUGAGUGCAGAAGAGGAAGGUGGAAUUCCAUGUGUAGCGGUGAAAUGCGCAGAGAUAUGGAGGAACACCAGUGGCGAAGGCGACUUUCUGGUCUGUAACUGACGCUGAUGUGCGAAAGCGUGGGGAUCAAACAGGAUUAGAUACCCUGGUAGUCCACGCCGUAAACGAUGAGUGCUAUGUGUUAGGGGGUUUCCGCCCCUUAGUGCUGCAGCUAACGCAUUAAGCACUCCGCCUGGGGAGUACGACCGCAAGGUUGAAACUCAAAGGAAUUGACGGGGACCCGCACAAGCGGUGGAGCAUGUGGUUUAAUUCGAAGCAACGCGAAGAACCUUACCAAAUCUUGACAUCCUUUGACAACUCUAGAGAUAGAGCCUUCCCCUUCGGGGGACAAAGUGACAGGUGGUGCAUGGUUGUCGUCAGCUCGUGUCGUGAGAUGUUGGGUUAAGUCCCGCAACGAGCGCAACCCUUAAGCUUAGUUGCCAUCAUUAAGUUGGGCACUCUAAGUUGACUGCCGGUGACAAACCGGAGGAAGGUGGGGAUGACGUCAAAUCAUCAUGCCCCUUAUGAUUUGGGCUACACACGUGCUACAAUGGACAAUACAAAGGGCAGCGAAACCGCGAGGUCAAGCAAAUCCCAUAAAGUUGUUCUCAGUUCGGAUUGUAGUCUGCAACUCGACUACAUGAAGCUGGAAUCGCUAGUAAUCGUAGAUCAGCAUGCUACGGUGAAUACGUUCCCGGGUCU